RNAcentral lists this ribosomal RNA (253 nucleotides) under uncultured bacterium. RNAcentral describes it as "partial 16S ribosomal RNA". It matches the Rfam family "Bacterial small subunit ribosomal RNA", at positions 524 to 776 of the family's 1533-position model. The record is from RNAcentral.
UACGUAGGGGGCAAGCGUUGUCCGGAAUCAUUGGGCGUAAAGAGCGUGUAGGCGGCCAGAUAAGUCCGCUGUGAAAUCUCGAGGCUCAACUUCGAGCUGUCGGUGGAAACUGUCUGGCUAGAGUCCGGAAGAGGAGAGUGGAAUUCCUGGUGUAGCGGUGAAAUGCGCAGAUAUCAGGAAGAACACCAAUGGCGAAAGCAGCUCUCUGGGACGGUACUGACGCUGAGACGCGAAAGCGUGGGGAGCGAACAGG